This 429-nucleotide ribosomal RNA is filed under the name Chloroflexota bacterium. RNAcentral's name for it is "Chloroflexi bacterium partial 16S ribosomal RNA". It matches the Rfam family "Bacterial small subunit ribosomal RNA", at positions 355 to 776 of the family's 1533-position model. The record is from RNAcentral. Lineage: Bacteria; Bacillati; Chloroflexota.
UGGGGAAUAUUGCACAAUGGGCGCAAGCCUGAUGCAGCCAUGCCGCGUGUAUGAAGCAGGCCUUCGGGUUGUAAAGUACUUUCAGUCGGGAGGAAGGUGGUAAGGUUAAUAACCUUGGCAAUUGACGUUACCGACAGAAGAAGCACCGGCUAACUCCGUGCCAGCCGCCGCGGUAAUACGGAGGGUGCAAGCGUUAAUCGGAAUUACUGGGCGUAAAGCGCACGCAGGCGGUUGAUUGAGUCAGAUGUGAAAUCCCCGGGCUUAACCCGGGAAUUGCAUCUGAUACUGGUCAGCUAGAGUCUUGUAGAGGGGGGUAGAAUUCCAUGUGUAGCGGUGAAAUGCGUAGAGAUGUGGAGGAAUACCGGUGGCGAAGGCGGCCCCCUGGACGAAGACUGACGCUCAGGUGCGAAAGCGUGGGGAGCAAACAGG